Molecule: microRNA, 22 nt
Filed under: Monodelphis domestica (gray short-tailed opossum)
Lineage: Eukaryota; Metazoa; Chordata; Mammalia; Didelphimorphia; Didelphidae
Description: mdo-miR-7398i-3p
Source: miRBase by way of RNAcentral
UAACCUUUCCUACUCUCACAGU